Peromyscus maniculatus bairdii (prairie deer mouse) is the source of this 133-nucleotide small nucleolar RNA. Ensembl annotates it as predicted gene, 26418. The record is from Ensembl. NCBI's taxonomy places the organism in Eukaryota, Metazoa, Chordata, Mammalia, Rodentia, Cricetidae.
CCUCCCUCAGCUCUGGCAAUAACACAGGUCUAGAGUGUGCUUGGUGGAUUCCCAAGCAAGAGAAGAGGAUGGCCUUCCUAAUGCACAGCAAACUGCCCCAAAGUGGCUUCUCUGUUUCUGGGAGUACACAGCU